Molecule: ribosomal RNA, 463 nt
Filed under: Zoila venusta
Lineage: Eukaryota; Metazoa; Mollusca; Gastropoda; Littorinimorpha; Cypraeidae
Description: partial 16S large subunit ribosomal RNA
Rfam family: Bacterial large subunit ribosomal RNA
Source: RNAcentral
GAGUCGGACCUGCCCAGUGAAUAAUUUUUAACGGCCGCGGUACUCUGACCGUGCAAAGGUAGCAUAAUCAUUUGCCCUAUAACUGAGGGCUAGUAUGAAUGGUUUGACGUGAACGAAACUGUCUCUGUAUAAUUUUGUAGAACUUGAUUUUUAGGUGAAGAAACCUAAAUACCAUUGAAAGACAAGAAGACCCUAUUGAGCUUUAAAAGAAUAAUUUGAUAACAACAUAUAAUUUUAAAUAUUAAUCUAUUUUAAAUUUUGGUUGGGGCGACUAUGGAACAAAUAAAGCUUCUUUAUUUUUGUAAAACUCUCAAGUUUUGAUCCAGAAAUUUUGAUUAAUGGAAUUAGUUACCAUAGGGAUAACAGCAUAAUUCUCUUUGAGAGUUCUUAUCGAAAAGAGAGUUUGUGACCUCGAUGUUGGACUAGAGUAUCCUAAAGAUGCAGCAGUCUUUAAGGGUUGGUC